This 534-nucleotide ribosomal RNA is filed under the name Triticum aestivum (bread wheat). Its description in RNAcentral is "partial small subunit ribosomal RNA". The record is from RNAcentral. Lineage: Eukaryota; Viridiplantae; Streptophyta; Magnoliopsida; Poales; Poaceae.
AUGAAGAAAAUCCUUCAUAAUGGCACUUUAAGUGUGAAGUUAAAUAACACUUCAGGGCCUUACUUCCAGAGCCACAAGGGAGUGAGGCAAGGGGACCUGGUGUCCCCUUUCUUGUUCAACAUCGCUGCUGAAUGCUUAUGUAAGAUGAUGUUGCAGGCCCAGAAAAAUGGCUUGAUUGAUGGGCUGGCCUCGGAUUUGGUGGAUAAGGGAGUGGCCAUUCUGCAAUACGCAGAUGACACCGUACUUUGCAUUGAACAUAACCCUGAAAAAACACUCAAUCUGAAACUGUUGCUUUAUAUGUUCGAACUCAUGUCUGGAUUGAAGAUUAAUUUCCAGAAAAGCGAAAUUUUAAGUGUUGGAGGAGAUGUUAAUAUUCUGAAAAAAUAUGCUGAUAUUUUUGGAUGUCAAAUUGGGCAUUUCCCGAUGAAAUGUCUCGGGGUCCCUGUCAGUUAUUCGUCCCUGACAGGUGUGGACUGGGACUAUCUUGAGGCUAAAUUUGUCAAAAGAUGCGAGUCUGGGCUUGAAAGUAUUGCC